Molecule: ribosomal RNA, 788 nt
Filed under: uncultured Modestobacter sp.
Lineage: Bacteria; Bacillati; Actinomycetota; Actinomycetes; Geodermatophilales; Geodermatophilaceae
Description: bacterial SSU rRNA
Rfam family: Bacterial small subunit ribosomal RNA
Source: RNAcentral
AGAGUUUGAUCCUGGCUCAGGACGAACGCUGGCGGCGUGCCUAACACAUGCAAGUCGAACGAGUCCGGUCCUUCGGGACCGAGGCGAGUGGCGGACGGGUGAGUAACACGUGAGCAAUCUAUCCUGUUGCGGGGGACAACGAGGGGAAACCUUCGCUAAUACCGCAUGGUCAAGAGAGUCGAUGACUCUUUUGGGAAACGUGGCCUCUUUACAAUGCUACGGCGACGGGAGGAGCUCGCGGGCUAUCAGCUAGUUGGUGAGGUAACGGCUCACCAAGGCGACGACGGCUACGGGGUCUGAGAGGACGACCCCGCACAUUGGAACUGAGACACGGUCCAGACUCCUACGGGAGGCAGCAGUGGGGAAUAUUGCGCAAUGGGCGGAAGCCUGACGCAGCGACGCCGCGUGGGGGAUGACGGCCUUCGGGUUGUAAACCUCUUUCAGCAGGGACGAAGCGGAAGUGACGGUACCUGCAGAAGAAGCACCGGCCAACUACGUGCCAGCAGCCGCGGUAAUACGUAGGGUGCAAGCGUUGUCCGGAAUUAUUGGGCGUAAAGAGCUCGUAGGCGGUCUGUCGCGUCGGCUGUGAAAUCCCGAGGCUCAACCUCGGGCCUGCAGUCGAUACGGGCAAACUAGAGUGUUGCAGGGGAGACUGGAAUUCCUGGUGUAGCGGUGAAAUGCGCAGAUAUCAGGAGGAACACCGGUGGCGAAGGCGGGUCUCUGGGCAACAACUGACGCUGAGGAGCGAAAGCGUGGGGAGCGAACAGGAUUAGAUACCCCCGUAGUCC